UAAGCGGAGGAAAAGAAACUAACUAAGAUUGCCUUAGUAACGGCGAGUGAAGUGGCAAAAGCCCAAACUGGAAAUCUUCAUGCUUCGCAUGACGAAUUGUAAUCUAAAGAGUAGAAGCUCACCGGUAGGUCUCGCAGAAGUGCCUUAGAACGGGCCGCCAGAGAGGGUGACAGCCCCGUAUGUGGUGAGACUUGCUAACGAGCUCUGCUUGAAGAGUCGGGUAGUUUUGAAUUGCUGCCCUAAGUGGGAGAUAGACUUCUUCUAAGGCUAAAUACAUGUGGGAAACCGAUAGCGAACAAGUACUGUGAAGGAAAGAUGAAAAGAACUUUGAAAAGAGAGUUAAAAGACUUGAAAUCGUUGAGAAGGAAGCGGUAGAAAAUUAUUCUCUGCGGUAGCAAAGUGUUCCACACGAGUAUUACGGGUGUAUAGUACGUCAAAGGCUUGCAUUCGUACGUGCUUGUUGGAUUGCGGAGCUCACGCAGUGAGGCAAAAUGAGGUGUUGAAUCCACAAAAGCUUCUAGGAUUUGGGACUCUUCGGAGUCCAUUCCUGGUCUGCUGGUGGGCUUAGCGCCUGAGGAUGCUCUGUGCGAUUUUGCCAAAAUGGUUUUUACCGACCCGUCUUGAAACACGGACCAAGGAGUCUAAC
Molecule: ribosomal RNA, 646 nt
Filed under: Pseudokeronopsis rubra
Lineage: Eukaryota; Ciliophora; Spirotrichea; Urostylida; Pseudokeronopsidae
Description: LSU rRNA
Rfam family: Eukaryotic large subunit ribosomal RNA
Source: RNAcentral